RNAcentral lists this ribosomal RNA (460 nucleotides) under uncultured bacterium. Its description in RNAcentral is "partial 16S ribosomal RNA". It matches the Rfam family "Bacterial small subunit ribosomal RNA", at positions 338 to 795 of the family's 1533-position model. The record is from RNAcentral.
CCUACGGGUGGCAGCAGUGAGGAAUAUUGGUCAAUGGGCGGAAGCCUGAACCAGCAAAGUAGCGUGCAGGAUGACGGCCCUACGGGUUGUAAACUGCUUUUAUACGGGAAUAACGCGCCUUAAGUGUAGGGCUUUGCAUGUACCGUAUGAAUAAGGACCGGCUAAUUCCGUGCCAGCAGCCGCGGUAAUACGGAAGGUCCGGGCGUUAUCCGGAUUUAUUGGGUUUAACGGGAGCGUAGGCCGCAUGUCAAGCGUGCUGUGAAAUGUCCGGGCUCAACCCGGGCCUUGCAGCGCGAACUGGCGUGCUUGAGUCCGCGGAAAGCAGGCGGAAUUCGUCGUGUAGCGGUGAAAGGCUUAGAUAUGACGAAGAACCCCGAUUGCGAAGGCAGCUUGCUGCAGCGGAACUGACGCUGAUGCUCGAAAGCGCGGGUAUCGAACAGGAUUAGAUACCCCAGUAGUC